UCAUGUCUGAAUAUGGCUAAAGGAGUGACUUGGCUUUUCUAGGGUCCAGUUCUUUAAGUACUAAAUAAGAGCAACAUAGGGGACAACUAGAUAGCCAACCACGUAACUUGGUGACUCAGAAGUUCUUGUGUCUAUGCUUCAUGGAUGGGAAUAGCCCUAAGAUGGGCACACCAGGAAGGCUUGUGGGAUGAGUGGAGUGAGCAAGCAUCAAAGCAGGGACACGGGAUCGUCAUGAAAGAGGGGAUGCCUGCACAUCAUGGAUAAGGGUCUCCGUGUUCAGAGCUAGCAUCAUGGCGGAGGAACCUCAGCUUCUUCAUGGUGCUUCCAGCAGGUUGGGUUACUUCCAUGUACAGAGAGGAAGGGAACACCCCAAUGCAUGAGCUCACUUCCAGGCUCUCUGUCAUGUGUGCCAAUGUUCCAUCACCUAAAGUAAAUGGCACGGCCAAGCUCGGAUAUGAUGGGGAGAGAAGUUAAGAGAUCUUUUGAUGAAACUGAAGGGAGGGGUUGCAUGUGCGCAUGUGCACAACAUCGCUUUCUGUUAUCACUCUUCAUCCUGCUCCAACCCCUGCAGGACGAGAGGAAUUAC
Molecule: long non-coding RNA, 586 nt
Filed under: Mus pahari (shrew mouse)
Lineage: Eukaryota; Metazoa; Chordata; Mammalia; Rodentia; Muridae
Description: lncRNA (MGP_PahariEiJ_G0005260.1)
Source: RNAcentral